Molecule: small nucleolar RNA, 131 nt
Organism: Suncus etruscus (white-toothed pygmy shrew)
Lineage: Eukaryota; Metazoa; Chordata; Mammalia; Eulipotyphla; Soricidae
Product: small nucleolar RNA SNORA51
Exons: 1
Source: RefSeq, a predicted model, not a curated record
GACCUCCUAAUUCUUACUACGGCUGUGUUCUUUACACUGACUGUAUAGAAAGAGGAGGUACAGUAAAUGCCCCCAUAUACACUUCAGCACAGGCCCUUUGCCUGGUCUGUACUGUGAAUUGGGGGACAAAA